This 366-nucleotide ribosomal RNA is filed under the name Triticum aestivum (bread wheat). RNAcentral describes it as "partial small subunit ribosomal RNA". The record is from RNAcentral. Lineage: Eukaryota; Viridiplantae; Streptophyta; Magnoliopsida; Poales; Poaceae.
AUGCCGAUUCACUUCCGUUCCUUUACGGAACCAUCGCCAGCCUACCGGAAGGGAAGGCGACGGCCGGUGCCAAGGGCUGCAGAGUGGGCACCGUGCUGGCCCUUGCCAUCCCCUCCCACUGACAGGGCUUUCCAUGUUUUAUCCCCAUUACCAUUGACGAGGACAGAUCAUAGGAUACCAGUACCACUGCUGGGAGCCUGGGACAUGUACUAUCAUGACAAUGUCAGGAGAACCUUCAUCUCUGGGCAUGAGAUGCAUAUGCAUUUCCCAAAAAUUGAUCCCGUGGACAAGAUCAGGUUAGUGAUUCAGGAGUUCCUGCCAAGACUGGCUUUUGGAAGUUAUGCUUGCUUCACUAGUUGGGUUUAA